RNAcentral lists this ribosomal RNA (429 nucleotides) under Gemmatimonadota bacterium. Its description in RNAcentral is "Gemmatimonadetes bacterium partial 16S ribosomal RNA". It matches the Rfam family "Bacterial small subunit ribosomal RNA", at positions 355 to 776 of the family's 1533-position model. The record is from RNAcentral. Lineage: Bacteria; Pseudomonadati; Gemmatimonadota.
UAGGGAAUCUUCGGCAAUGGACGAAAGUCUGACCGAGCAACGCCGCGUGAGUGAAGAAGGUUUUCGGAUCGUAAAACUCUGUUGUUAGAGAAGAACAAGGACGUUAGUAACUGAACGUCCCCUGACGGUAUCUAACCAGAAAGCCACGGCUAACUACGUGCCAGCAGCCGCGGUAAUACGUAGGUGGCAAGCGUUGUCCGGAUUUAUUGGGCGUAAAGCGAGCGCAGGCGGUUUCUUAAGUCUGAUGUGAAAGCCCCCGGCUCAACCGGGGAGGGUCAUUGGAAAGUGGGAGACUUGAGUGCAGAAGAGGAGAGUGGAAUUCCAUGUGUAGCGGUGAAAUGCGUAGAUAUAUGGAGGAACACCAGGGGCGAAGGCGGCUCUCUGGUCUGUAUCUGACGCUGAGGCUCGAAAGCGUGGGGAGCAAACAGG